Molecule: ribosomal RNA, 716 nt
Filed under: Fictibacillus phosphorivorans
Lineage: Bacteria; Bacillati; Bacillota; Bacilli; Caryophanales; Fictibacillaceae
Description: bacterial SSU rRNA
Rfam family: Bacterial small subunit ribosomal RNA
Source: RNAcentral
CUAUAAUGCAGUCGAGCGAAUGAUGAGGAGCUUGCUCCUCUGAUUUAGCGGCGGACGGGUGAGUAACACGUGGGUAAUCUGCCUGUAAGACGGGGAUAACUCCGGGAAACCGGGGCUAAUACCGGAUAAUAAGAGAAGAAGCAUUUCUUCUUUUUGAAAGUCGGUUUCGGCUGACACUUACAGAUGAGCCCGCGGCGCAUUAGCUAGUUGGUGAGGUAACGGCUCACCAAGGCGACGAUGCGUAGCCGACCUGAGAGGGUGAUCGGCCACACUGGGACUGAGACACGGCCCAGACUCCUACGGGAGGCAGCAGUAGGGAAUCUUCGGCAAUGGGCGAAAGCCUGACCGAGCAACGCCGCGUGAGCGAUGAAGGCCUUCGGGUCGUAAAGCUCUGUUGUUAGAGAAGAACAAGUACGAGAGUAACUGCUCGUACCUUGACGGUACCUAACCAGAAAGCCACGGCUAACUACGUGCCAGCAGCCGCGGUAAUACGUAGGUGGCAAGCGUUAUCCGGAAUUAUUGGGCGUAAAGCGCGCGCAGGCGGUCUCUUAAGUCUGAUGUGAAAGCCCACGGCUCAACCGUGGAGGGUCAUUGGAAACUGGGAGACUUGAGUGCAGGAGAGAAAAGUGGAAUUCCACGUGUAGCGGUGAAAUGCGUAGAGAUGUGGAGGAACACCAGUGGCGAAGGCGGCUUUUUGGCCUGUAACUGACGCUGAG